AGAGUUUGAUCCUGGCUCAGGAUGAACGCUAAGGCCUAACACAUGCAAGUCGAGGGGUAACCAUGCAAGUCGAACGCGAAAGGUUCUUUCGGGAACUGAGUAGAGUGGCGCACGGGUGAGUAACGCGUAAGUAAUCUACCCUGGUAUCUGGAAUAACUCAUCGAAAGGUGUGCUAAUACCGGAUACGUUGGUUUACCAAGAAAGGAGGCCUCUGCAUAUGCUUCCGUACCAGGAUGAGCUUGCGUACCAUUAGCUAGUUGGUAGGGUAAUGGCCUACCAAGGCGACGAUGGUUAGCGGGUCUGAGAGGAUGAUCCGCCACACUGGAACUGAAACACGGACCAGACUCCUACGGGAGGCAGCAGUGAGGAAUAUUGCGCAAUGGGGGCAACCCUGACGCAGCGACGCCGCGUGGAUGAUGAAGGCCUUCGGGUCGUAAAAUCCUGUCAGAUGGAAAGAAUGGUUUAUGGGUUAAUACCCUGUAGAUUUGACGGUACCAUCAAAGGAAGCACCGGCUAACUCCGUGCCAGCAGCCGCGGUAAUACGGAGGGUGCAAGCGUUGUUCGGAAUUACUGGGCGUAAAGCGCGCGCAGGUGGUUUGCUCAGUCAGAUGUGAAAGCCCACGGCUUAACCGUGGACGUGCAUUUGAUACUGGCAGACUUGAGUACUGGAGGGGGUAGUGGAAUUCCCGGUGUAGAGGUGAAAUUCGUAGAUAUCGGGAGGAAUACCGGUGGCGAAGGCGACUACCUGGCCAGAUACUGACACUGAGGCGCGAAAGCGUGGGGAGCAAACAGGAUUAGAUACCCUGGUAGUCCACGCUGUAAACGAUGUCAACUAGGUGUUGGGACGGUUAAUCGUCUCAUUGCCGCAGCUAACGCAUUAAGUUGACCGCCUGGGGAGUACGGUCGCAAGAUUAAAACUCAAAGGAAUUGACGGGGGCCCGCACAAGCGGUGGAGUAUGUGGUUUAAUUCGACGCAACGCGCAGA
RNAcentral lists this ribosomal RNA (985 nucleotides) under uncultured bacterium. Its description in RNAcentral is "bacterial SSU rRNA". It matches the Rfam family "Bacterial small subunit ribosomal RNA", at positions 8 to 967 of the family's 1533-position model. The record is from RNAcentral.